GAUGAACGCUGGCGGCGUGCUUAACACAUGCGAGUCGAACGAAGCAUUUGCGACAGAUUUUUUCGGAAUGAAGUUGCUUAUGACUGAGUGGCGGACGGGUGAGUAACGCGUGGGUAACCUGCCUUGUACUGGGGGAUAGCAGCUGGAAACGGCUGGUAAUACCGCAUAAGCGCACAAUGUUGCAUGACAUGGUGUGAAAAACUCCGGUGGUAUAAGAUGGACCCGCGUCUGAUUAGCUAGUUGGUGAGAUAACAGCCCACCAAGGCGACGAUCAGUAGCCGACCUGAGAGGGUGACCGGCCACAUUGGGACUGAGACACGGCCCAGACUCCUACGGGAGGCAGCAGUGGGGAAUAUUGCACAAUGGAGGAAACUCUGAUGCAGCGACGCCGCGUGAGUGAAGAAGUAAUUCGUUAUGUAAAGCUCUAUCAGCAGGGAAGAUAGUGACGGUACCUGACUAAGAAGCUCCGGCUAAAUACGUG
RNAcentral lists this ribosomal RNA (481 nucleotides) under uncultured bacterium. RNAcentral's name for it is "partial 16S ribosomal RNA". It matches the Rfam family "Bacterial small subunit ribosomal RNA", at positions 28 to 507 of the family's 1533-position model. The record is from RNAcentral.